AACUAGGAUUAGAUACCCUAUUAUUUAAAAUGUAAAUAAAUCGCUAAAGUAGUAAUAGUUAUGUUCUUGAAACUUAAAAAAUUUGGCGGUAUUUUAGUCUAUCUAGAGGAACCUGUUUUUUAAUCGAUAAUCCACGAUGGACCUUACUUAAAUUUGUAAUCAGUUUAUAUACCGUCGUUAUCAGAAUAUUUUAUAAGAAUAAUAAUAUUCAAUAAUUUUAAUAAAAAUUUAUAUCAGAUCAAGGUGUAGCUUAUAUUUAAGUAAUAAUGGGUUACAAUAAAUUUAUUUAUAUGAAUAAAAUUAUGAAAAAAUUUUUGAAAGUGGAUUUGGUAGUAAAAUUAUAAAGAUUAAUAAUUUGAUUUUAGCUCUAAAAUAUGUACACAUCGCCCGUCGCUCUUAUUAUUAAGGUAA
Molecule: ribosomal RNA, 411 nt
Filed under: Drosophila takahashii
Lineage: Eukaryota; Metazoa; Arthropoda; Insecta; Diptera; Drosophilidae
Description: partial 12S ribosomal RNA
Source: RNAcentral